This 497-nucleotide ribosomal RNA is filed under the name Sulfitobacter sp. Ar-134. Its description in RNAcentral is "bacterial SSU rRNA". It matches the Rfam family "Bacterial small subunit ribosomal RNA", at positions 62 to 607 of the family's 1533-position model. The record is from RNAcentral. Lineage: Bacteria; Pseudomonadati; Pseudomonadota; Alphaproteobacteria; Rhodobacterales; Roseobacteraceae.
UCGAGCGCACCUUCGGGUGAGCGGCGGACGGGUUAGUAACGCGUGGGAACAUACCCUUUUCUACGGAAUAGCCUCGGGAAACUGAGAGUAAUACCGUAUAAGCCCUUCGGGGGAAAGAUUUAUCGGGAAAGGAUUGGCCCGCGUUAGAUUAGAUAGUUGGUGGGGUAAUGGCCUACCAAGUCUACGAUCUAUAGCUGGUUUUAGAGGAUGAUCAGCAACACUGGGACUGAGACACGGCCCAGACUCCUACGGGAGGCAGCAGUGGGGAAUCUUAGACAAUGGGCGCAAGCCUGAUCUAGCCAUGCCGCGUGUGUGAUGAAGGUCUUAGGAUCGUAAAGCACUUUCGCCAGGGAUGAUAAUGACAGUACCUGGUAAAGAAACCCCGGCUAACUCCGUGCCAGCAGCCGCGGUAAUACGGAGGGGGUUAGCGUUGUUCGGAAUUACUGGGCGUAAAGCGUACGUAGGCGGAUUGGAAAGUUGGGGGUGAAAUCCCAGGG